CAAUCUCUCAUAUCUAAAUUGAUCAAUUUAGUGGCAUUCUGAAUCGAGGAAGGAAGUGUCACCAAAGAUUCGCAUCCAAAAAGAUAUAGUCUCUCCAGGUUUAUGGCUAAAGAAAGAUCUGGAAUUUCUUUCAAAUAUUUGGAACCAUGCAGAUACAUCUCCUUGAGGCUUCCAAGUGGCUGAUAACAAAAUAGGGGAAAAGAGAGUACACGCGUUAAUGAAUAUUUUAAACAGAUUCAUUUUUGUUUUUCUAACAUAUUUAUGUUUAGAAAUUGAUCACUAAUAGAAUUAGUACCUGAGUUCCAUCCCACAGCUUCUCAAGGUCACUAUUCUCCAUUCUGAGUUCAACUAGAUACUCAGCCUUAAAAUUAGAAGGCAAACGCUUCACUGGACAAUAAUCCCACCAUAGCCUUUUGAGUUUACGUGGCAAGUAAAUGAGGCCUUGAGUGCCUUCCAUACUUGACCAAUCAACUGAUAGAUAUUCGAGAUUACACAUGCCUUCUAAUGAUUUUAAAUCUAUUAAUAGCACCCCCGAACAAUAUAACGUCCUCAGUUUAAUGGCAUUCUGAAUCGAGGAAGGAAGUGUCACCAAAGAUUCGCAUUUAGAAAGAUUUAAUUCCUCGAGGUUUAUGGCUAAAGAAAGAUCUGGAAUUUCUUUCAAAUUGUUGGAACACCCCAAAUCCAUCUUCUUGAGACUUCCAAGGGGCUGAAAACAAAAUAUGGAAAAAGAGAAUACACACGUUCACAAAUAUACCACAAUUUUCUGUUCUAAAAACUGACAACUAAUAAAAAUUUAGAAUUCGUACC
RNAcentral lists this long non-coding RNA (807 nucleotides) under Arabidopsis thaliana (thale cress). RNAcentral's name for it is "long non-coding RNA (ATHA_LNC000267)". The record is from RNAcentral. Lineage: Eukaryota; Viridiplantae; Streptophyta; Magnoliopsida; Brassicales; Brassicaceae.